This 472-nucleotide long non-coding RNA is filed under the name Homo sapiens (human). Its description in RNAcentral is "non-protein coding lnc-OSBPL10-2:1". The record is from RNAcentral. Lineage: Eukaryota; Metazoa; Chordata; Mammalia; Primates; Hominidae.
AUGAAUACAAAAGGGAAAGAGGAGAGAAGUACCUGACAUAUGUUCUCCAGGCCUUUUAGAAAGCAUGAAGUUGCUCCUUUGGCCACAUAUAUGUGAAUCUAUCAGAAAGAUGAUAUUGUAGACAUCAGGGGAAUGGUCACUGUUCAAAAAGGAAUGCCCCACAAGUGUCACCAUGGCUAAACUGGAAGAGUCUACAAUGUUACCCAGCAUGCUGCUGGCAUUGUGGUAAACAAGUUAAGGGCAAGAUUCUUGCCAAGAAUUAAUGGGUGUAUGGAGCAUAUUAAGCUAAGAGCUGAGAUAGCUUCCUGAAACACAUGAAGGAAAAUGAUCAGAAAAAGAAGGAAGCCAAAGAGAAAGGUACCUGGAUUAGACUGAAGUACCAGCCUGCUCCACCCAGAGAAGCGCACUUUGUGGGAACCAGUGGGAAGGAGCCUGAGCUGCUGGGACUUAUUCUCUAUGAAUUCAUGCAUAA